This 72-nucleotide transfer RNA is filed under the name Camelus bactrianus (Bactrian camel). It matches the Rfam family "tRNA". Rfam says of the family: Transfer RNA (tRNA) molecules are approximately 80 nucleotides in length. Their secondary structure includes four short double-helical elements and three loops (D, anti-codon, and T loops). Further hydrogen bonds mediate the characteristic L-shaped molecular structure. tRNAs have two regions of fundamental functional importance: the anti-codon, which is responsible for specific mRNA codon recognition, and the 3' end, to which the tRNAs corresponding amino acid is attached (by aminoacyl-tRNA synthetases). tRNAs cope with the degeneracy of the genetic code in two manners: having more than one tRNA (with a specific anti-codon) for a particular amino acid; and 'wobble' base-pairing, i.e. permitting non-standard base-pairing at the 3rd anti-codon position. RNAcentral also lists the same sequence under 2 other names. The record is from Rfam by way of RNAcentral. Lineage: Eukaryota; Metazoa; Chordata; Mammalia; Artiodactyla; Camelidae.
AAAGGUAUAGCUCAGUGGUAGAGUACCUGCUUAGCAUGCAUGAGGUCCUGGGUUCAAUCCCCAGUACCUCUA